RNAcentral lists this unclassified non-coding RNA (29 nucleotides) under Dictyostelium discoideum. Lineage: Eukaryota; Evosea; Eumycetozoa; Dictyosteliales; Dictyosteliaceae. The record is from RNAcentral.
UAGACGAUAGCUUUUCUGGGGUUUGGAAU